Misgurnus anguillicaudatus (oriental weatherfish) is the source of this 3609-nucleotide non-coding RNA. The record is from RefSeq and is a predicted model, not a curated record. Lineage: Eukaryota; Metazoa; Chordata; Actinopteri; Cypriniformes; Cobitidae.
GCAGCUAUAUUUCAUUUUGAUUUCUCAUACUUAACAAUGAAAGGGUUAUGUUUUAAAUCAUAUUUUAGGAUUGCACUUAAUUGAUAUUGCUGUUGAGUGAUGUUUCAUAUCUUUUAAAUUUGUUAUAACCGGACUGCAUGCGAAUUUGAACUUCAGAGCUGAGGAAGCGGGUGGAGAAAUAGUCCCAAUAUCAUAACAAUCUUAAAUAAAACUUCUAAAUAUGCCCGUGUGUGUACCCGUGUGCGCGCGCGCGUGCGCGCGACCCGCUCACGCGCGCGUGUGUAUGUACAGUAUGUGCGUGAGUUUUUAAUUUAAAAUGUCUUAACUUAACUCGGAAGGAUCUGAAUCACAGGUCAUUUCAUCUGAGAUCACUCCGCAUGUAACAGCCGGAAUCACUCACUGUUUCCCACAACGACACGAGUCAUCAGCCGUUUCCUCAAGGUCACGUCAGAGGGGUGGUGAUGUGGAAAGGCAGACCAGACCACCACCAUACGCGAAGAUGAGCCUCGAGGCUUCACAGUUAUUUUUUCAAACUGAGGAGUUUGGACUCCGGACCGUCAUUUCUGCUUGUUUGUACCCUGAGGUAAGUAAACUUUCUACAUUUUUGAAACGAUAUUACUGAAAUAUUUAGUAUAAUUAGUUAAUAUUUAUUUUGUUAGAGUAGGUCUUGUGCUAAAUAGUGAUACUAGAAGCUACAUUUAUAAUAUUUACCUCAGUUAAAAAAUACUGCUGGUAACGUUAAAGCACUGACGGGCUUCGUCAACCGUCAGUUAUAAAAGCUCUGUUAAAUACAUUUUGUUCCUGGUUUUAAUGAAUUACGUUACAGUCCUGCUUUAUUUCUUUGUCAUUUUAAAUUAAAGUGCCAAUCACAAUAAGACAGCUGUGUUGUAAGGAGACGAAAUUCGAGACAGGGGUGUUAUUUCAAUGAAGCGCGUGGUCAAAGGAACCGGGUGGAAGGGAAAUUAUAUGUAAAUGUUUGUCGCAGUUUUACACAUAUUCCGUGAGUAUUUUUCGCUUGUUCACGAGUGUUUUAUCAGGGUUGGAGCUAAACUCGGAAGGAAAGUGGAAACUGCUGGCCACAGUUAAGAACUUUCUGCUGGUCUGUAUUAUAAAUGCACGAUUGCAGUGCAGCGUUUGUAUCCGCAAGUCUAGAUAUGCAUGUUUUCUGUGAUGCACACAAUUAAUUAAUGUGAUGGUAGCUGUUAAGACACUUACAUUUAACAUUCAAAUGUUUUAAAAACCAAACGUGUUCAGGUUUUUAUGUGUAUUUGGUUUGUGAAGUGUAAUUUUUUUUCCUCUCCCUCACAGAUAACCAUGGUUAAUAAAUGGUCAGACACGUCACUGGCUUUAAAAUAUAAACCCCAUUGAUGCAAAAAGGUAAGGUGCUUAAAAGGACCUUGUAAGACUUCGUCACUAAUGUUCAUUAAAGAGAAAAUAAAAAGAAAUCUGUGUUUUGUAGCUUUAAUGAUAAUUCUUACUGUAUGUAUUUCAUUUAGAAUUUAGCAUUAAAGACUGUAAAGUGUUUGAGGAUUUAAUUUAAAUUCUGUAUAUUUCACACUAUUUUUUUAUUGAACAUUGUGUUUUGAAAAAUACAUCACUAGUCAAUUGCAACCUCAAGUUAAUGUAGACUUUAAGGAACUUGUUUGUCUGAAAGUGGAUAUAUAAAGAUUUUUUGUUUUAAGAUGCUGGAUGGAAUGACAAUGUGGUUUGGAACAGACUUGGUGAAGCACAUGGAAACAUCUCUUAAUAAAAUGGCCCCAAACAUCAUCAGGAGUGCAAAAGAAGGAAGUAAAAACAUCUCUACGCCAAUCUCAUUGGAGAGGAAACCACAGAAGGUCUGGUGAGGAAUGCUGCACUUAUGUUAUUGCAAGCAUUAUUUCAAGAAAAUCCCAGCUUCCUUGACUGUGUAAAUAGUGAACCCAAAGGUCCCACACCAACCAUAGUGUUCAACGGCUCUCCUGAUCUUCUCAAAUCUGAAAGUAUCAACUUUAUAAUGGACAAUGUGAACUAAAUAUGUGGAAGACAUUGACAUCACAGGCUGUGGAAUGACUGUGUCACAGGUCGGAGAAGCAGACCGCCCCUGUCGCGGAUCACGCUCCUCCUAGUUCCACCUCGAGGAGGUCCCAAAGCACCCCAAUGACCAGACAAACCAGAGGGGGAGUAUUACGGGGCCAGGGACGUUGGAGGGGUUUCCACGUGACUCCAGCUGGAACACCGCUACAGAGCGUAUCUGGGUGGGUUGGGCACACACCGUCGCGGCGGCCCCUGAUGGCAUCCACAAGGGUCCAAGACCCUCCUAAGCUCCUAGCCAUAGCAGAACUACGUAUUUCAGCACCCGAACGACUAACAACCCAGCCGGCAUCUGCAGCGUAUAUCCAACGCGAUCAAACUUCACUCUGACAAGUAACUUCCUAUACACAACCACGCCGUCCUUUCGCCCGGACCAGCCCCGCACUCUUUCCGCCCGCUACCUAGCGGUCGCCGGAUCAGCAGAGCCUGCGGACUCUUCGGAGGCUGGUCUUCGUUGUGCUGUCCAAGGCGAAAGUUGACUCGCCCGAAAAUCGACCCUUCCAGUAACUUCUACCUUCUCUCUUUAUAUCCUCCUCCCAGGCGUGGCUCGCCCAACCAUCGCUCGCCACGUCACUCACACAGCUGUGCCUUGUUUCAGCGAGUGCGGGGAUUCCCGGGGAACCCUGAAGUGCCGGUGUCUGUACAAACCGGUCCAGGCGGAACCUCUUCACUCUCCUUUUGGUUCCGCCCCGCAUAGUCACUCCGUGACAACUGUUUGCGUUUUUUUUUCUCCUCAAUGUUCAAUACCCUUUUGCCAUUAAGCACACAGUGACUUUAAUUUAUAAAAUAUAUGCUUAAGUUUUAAUACCUGUACAAAACAAAUGUACAAUCAACUUGUGUAAAUUGUCAUUCUAUUUAAUAGAUUGUUCAUGAAUUGUCUUUAAAUGCAUUGUGAUUUCGGUAACACUUUACAAUAAAGUUAAUUAGUUAACAUUAGUUAAUGUAUUAACUAACUUGAACAAACCAUAAGCAAUACAUUUGUUACAGUAUUUAUUCAUCUUUGUUAAUGUUAAUUAAUAAAAAUUUAAGCUUUAAUUGCUUGUUCAUGUUAGUUCAGAGUGCAUUAACUAAUGUUAACAAGAUUUUAAUCAAGUAAUUGUUGAAAUUAACAUUAACAAAGAUUAAUAAAGGCUGUAUAAGUGCAGUUCAUUAUUAGUUCAUGUUAACUAAUGUAGCUAACUAAUGUUAACUAAUGAACCUUAUUGUAAAGUGUUACCGUGAUUUCUUUUCAUCAUUUCAGACACAUGUAAAAGUUACUAAAAAUUAAUACUGCAUAUAGUGUACAGUAUCUAUGCGUAAGGGAAAUAACUUAAACAAAAUUUUUAAUGUAUAGUGUAAUUAAGAGUUUAGCUGUUUAAUACAGAGAUGCAAUUUAUUUAUAUAUAUUAUUUAUAUAUAAACGUAUGUAUGUUUAUUAAAAAGUGAAAAUGCUUAAUGGAAAUAAUUAAAUAACUAAAUGGUUGAAUGUAAUGAGACAUUUUAAAUGUAAACUAAAGUUUUGCUGUCUAAUACAGAAUAAAGAGAUGUGAUUUUAAGUAA